Small nuclear RNA from Lepisosteus oculatus (spotted gar), 141 nucleotides. Its record names the gene U4. It matches the Rfam family "U4 spliceosomal RNA". Rfam says of the family: U4 small nuclear RNA (U4 snRNA) is a component of the major U2-dependent spliceosome. The structure of U4 snRNA from yeast and human has been reported. Lineage: Eukaryota; Metazoa; Chordata; Actinopteri; Semionotiformes; Lepisosteidae. The record is from Ensembl.
AGCUUUGCACAGUGGCUGUAUCGCAGUAUAUGAGGUUUGGCCCGAGGCGCGAUUAUUGCUAGUUGAAUACUUUUCCCAAACUAGUUAUACUGCCAUAGAAAUCUGUAAAAUACUCUGUGGCAAAGCGCUGUGAAGAGCGUU